UACAGAGGUCCCAAGCGUUGUUCGGAUUCACUGGGCGUAAAGGGUGCGUAGGCGGCCGGGUAAGUCUGCUGUGAAAUCCCGCAGCUCAACUGCGGAACUGCAUUGGAUACUAUCCGGCUAGAGGAAUGGAGGGGAGACUGGAAUUCUCGGUGUAGCAGUGAAAUGCGUAGAUAUCGAGAGGAACACCAGUGGCGAAGGCGAGUCCCUGGACAAAACCUGACACUGAGGCACGAAAGCUAGGGGAGCAAACAGG
This 253-nucleotide ribosomal RNA is filed under the name uncultured bacterium. RNAcentral's name for it is "partial 16S ribosomal RNA". It matches the Rfam family "Bacterial small subunit ribosomal RNA", at positions 524 to 776 of the family's 1533-position model. The record is from RNAcentral.